Molecule: long non-coding RNA, 1265 nt
Filed under: Felis catus (domestic cat)
Lineage: Eukaryota; Metazoa; Chordata; Mammalia; Carnivora; Felidae
Description: lncRNA (ENSFCAG00000051948.1)
Source: RNAcentral
UUUCUUGUCUCUACCUGAAGGCUGAUGGUCUUUAAGUUCCAAUUUCCCUCUCCUGGUGGACUGUGUCCAGACAGCUUUCGCUCACAGAGCAGACGCUCUCCAGGUGAUCACCACCUCACAUGUGCCUCCUCUGCUAGACUGUAAGCUCCAUGUGGGCAGGAGCUGUGCUUCCACAUCUAGGCUGUGGCAUCAUGCCUGGCGCAUGAAAGGUAUUCAGAAACAUGUUGUGCAAUUAGAUAAAAAGUUCACCUAUGUACUGACCUAAGAGUGUGUCAAAACUAACUAGCGGAAAACUGCAAUGCACGGCAUGUUCUCUUUCUUCCAUCCCUCUGCUUUCCAAUCUGGGGACACUAGGGGUACUUGUGAGCAGCCUGGUCAUAGCUCUGGGAUACGUAGUUAGGAGUCUAGACACUUCCUCUAUUGGUCCAAGUUUUAAGAGUUGAUAUGAACAGGGUAAAGAGCUUAGGGCUAUGGGAUUCUCAAAGCUAUGAGUUCUUGGAAUGUGUAAGUAACGGGUAAUUGGCAACUUUUCCAGCCCAACAGACUUCUUCCCAUAUAAAGUAUAUUUCCACAGAGAGUGUUUUGUUGUUGUUGAUCAUGCCCGGGCAGUACUUAAAUCUCCACGGAAACCCCAGAGGAGGCCCUAAACCUUAUUUGUACCUGUUGUUCCCUUGACCUCCCACAUCUGGUUCUGUUCUAAAUUUCCACCAGUUUCCAAACGUCUGAGCAAGAGAUCAUGGCAGACAUUGUAGAUGUCUUGGCAAGUGUCUGGUUCUCCAUGGGUACUGAGUCCCUGACAGAGGUUUUCUAGAAAAAUGAUGUGCUCCUUAUCUAUUUGCUAAUUCCUUCCACAUAUCACAAGACUUUUCUGUAAAUUCCCAUCAGUCUUGACAAAGUUAUCUUGUAGACUUAUGUAGUGAUUUUGAUGGCUGCACAGAGCUGUUUGUCUUGUUCAGAACGAAAUUAAUAACACCACGAUGGCACCUACUUUAGCACCAAACUUCUUAAACUCUCCUAAUAUACUAAUCAGCAUGUCAGGGAAAUAUUUUUUUUCUGGAUAAAGACAAGCCUGGUGAAAUGGAUUAGACAUUCACACGGCAUUGCAUAAUUCAGCAUGCCAGGGCGGUGCAUACGAUUUGCAUUAAUAGCCAGCGCUGGAAGCUGCUGCUCAUAGGUUUCUCUCAUUAGGUCGAAUAUCGAAGAUUCCAGACUGUCAAUCAAUUACAGUAAUUUCCUUUUCCAUAUUUAUUCCAUCACUAUCAUUG